Molecule: ribosomal RNA, 477 nt
Filed under: uncultured bacterium
Lineage: Bacteria
Description: partial 16S ribosomal RNA
Rfam family: Bacterial small subunit ribosomal RNA
Source: RNAcentral
AUUGAACGCUGGCGGCAUGCCUUACACAUGCAAGUCGAACGGUAACAGGUUAAGCUGACGAGUGGCGAACGGGUGAGUAAUGUAUCGGAACGUGCCCAGUCGUGGGGGAUAACUGCUUGAAAGAGCAGCUAAUACCGCAUACGACCUGAGGGUGAAAGCGGGGGAUCGCAAGACCUCGCGCGAUUGGAGCGGCCGAUAUCAGAUUAGGUAGUUGGUGAGGUAAAGGCUCACCAAGCCGACGAUCUGUAGCUGGUCUGAGAGGACGACCAGCCACACUGGGACUGAGAAACGGCCCAGACUCCUACGGGAGGCAGCAGUGGGGAAUUUUGGACAAUGGGCGCAAGCCUGAUCCAGCCAUGCCGCGUGCGGGAAGAAGGCCUUCGGGUUGUAAACCGCUUUUGUCAGGGAAGAAAAGGUUCUGGCUAAUACCUGGGACUCAUGACGGUACCUGAAGAAUAAGCACCGGCUAACUACGUG